This 452-nucleotide long non-coding RNA is filed under the name Androctonus crassicauda. The record is from RNAcentral. Lineage: Eukaryota; Metazoa; Arthropoda; Arachnida; Scorpiones; Buthidae.
UAAAGAAAAAUAAACACACAUAUAUCAAUUUUGACAAAGGAAGAAUCAAGUGACAUACAGACAAAAUAGUAAAGAAUGUAAUGAGAGAAUUGUCUUUCUCUGGGGAAAAACGUCAGUUGGUUGCCAGAACUCGAGGAGGAAGUACCCAAAGGUUUGCCAUCGUAGGCCACCAACUCAUCAGUCGUCUCGCUUCUCUCUCUGAAGUCUCACAUCUUGAUUGGUUUCCAAAACGACUCGAGGAAAUGAAUAUUACUCCAGGAGUAAGAAAUCUUCACCUGCUCUUCAUUUUCAAGAAAGUGUGUGUUCCUUUUGUUUUAUGAACUAAAGAUUGUGCCAUUGGACUAAAGACUUACAAGUUUGUGUUGUACAUUGCAUCAAAGAAUAGCCAACCAUUAUAUAUACAGAUAUUUAAACAGGUAUUUGUCCUCUAUUGAGGAAAAAUGUAUUUGUUU